UUUAACGCUGGCGGCAGGCCUCACCCAUGCCAGUCGAGCGGAUGAAGGGAGCUUGCUCCUGGAUUCAGCGGCGGACGGGUGAGUAAUGCCUAGGAAUCUGCCUGGUAGUGGGGGAUAACGUCCGGAAACGGGCGCUAAUACCGCAUACGUCCUGAGGGAGAAAGUGGGGGAUCUUCGGACCUCACGCUAUCAGAUGAGCCUAGGUCGGAUUAGCUAGUUGGUGGGGUAAAGGCCUACCAAGGCGACGAUCCGUAACUGGUCUGAGAGGAUGAUCAGUCACACUGGAACUGAGACACGGUCCAGACUCCUACGGGAGGCAGCAGUGGGGAAUAUUGGACAAUGGGCGAAAGCCUGAUCCAGCCAUGCCGCGUGUGUGAAGAAGGUCUUCGGAUUGUAAAGCACUUUAAGUUGGGAGGAAGGGCAGUAAGUUAAUACCUUGCUGUUUUGACGUUACCAACAGAAUAAGCACCGGCUAACUUCGUG
RNAcentral lists this ribosomal RNA (483 nucleotides) under uncultured bacterium. RNAcentral's name for it is "partial 16S ribosomal RNA". It matches the Rfam family "Bacterial small subunit ribosomal RNA", at positions 32 to 507 of the family's 1533-position model. The record is from RNAcentral.